AUUUUGGCCAGACAUGCAAGGGUCUCAUUUCAGAACAACUUGAGGAGCCAUUUGACCCAGCAUCAGGGGAAACAGAAAGAGAAUGUCAGUCAUUUGCUUAUUUAACUAUUUUUAAAGACAUAAUUAGUUCUAUUGAAUUAUUGCAGCAGAGGAAGGAUGGAAAUACGAGAACUAGUGCAAAGUAGGAGGGGAAAUAAAGGCAGUGGGAACUCAACUUGAAAAUUUCAAAAGCUAAAUAAUGUUGAAAACAAGGACCACAUUGGUUUAACAUCUUGUUUCCUUUUGUUUAUUGCUGGGCGUUAGAAGGUUCAUGGGCCCGUGUACAGAAGUGAUAUUGAAAAAAAGAGAAAGAAGAAAGAAAGAAAGAAAAAGAAAGAAAGAAAAAAGCUCUUCCCUUUACAACACAAUGCAAAAACUCUCAACUCCUUCCGAAAUGUGGCCUUUCCCUAGGAACCCUUUUUACCGAGAGUUCUGCUUUAUGACAGCAGCUUGA
Molecule: long non-coding RNA, 493 nt
Filed under: Ursus maritimus (polar bear)
Lineage: Eukaryota; Metazoa; Chordata; Mammalia; Carnivora; Ursidae
Description: lncRNA (ENSUMAG00000008475.1)
Source: RNAcentral